GAAAGAAGCUGCAAGAAUUGCAACGUUCUGAUGGCAAAUACAAAACUCACGAUGUCAAAGAAGGUAUCGCAGAAACUAAGAGGAGGACAAAAGAGGACAAAGGUGAAGAGAAGAAUGAAAAAGAAGUCCAAGCUUCUAUUGAGAAACAGUCAGGACCACAACUGAAUACGUUAUUGCAGUGCCUGGAAAACGUAGCAAGCUUUGAGACAACUUUUGUGUUGUCUAAAAAGGUCAAUUCAAUGUUGACUAAAUGAGCAAAACCAUCACAAAUCUGAGGCAGCAUCUGCCCUCAGAAGACACAUUUACGAAUCCUGAACUGAAAUGAAUGUUAAUAAUAUCAUCAAUAAGAAGAAAGCUUCUCCAGGAAGGGUAACUGUAUUUGCAGAAACAGGUAAAGGAUUUUUGUGUUGAAUUCAGAUUUAUUCUUUUUGUGCCAUCUUAUGCUCUCUCCUGCUUCUGAUUAAGUGUUUAAUUACUAAAACAAUCAUACUGACUCCUAGCAUAUGGAUACAGUUUUACACAGAGGGUUUACUUCUCUACUGAGAGCAACAUGUGGUAGGUAUUUAUUCCUAAUGUCAGGUACGACCUUUCUUUUCAUGAUGGCUCUUAAGCAUGGUGCUCAGAACAGAAACAAACUGAGUUUAUUUAAUAAUUGAUGAGUUAUUCCACCUAAUCAGCAAUAAUAAGUUAAUAUUAAUCAGUGAAUGAAAUAGAAUGGCCUUCCAUUUUUCAGUGCUUCAAAAUUUCCCAAUUCUAAUUAAUAAACUGUUUUGGAAUAAUCUUUUUAUUUCAGAUGUAUUCCCUUUUAUUUCAGAUAAUUGUCAGUUUUAAUCAUGUAAUAACUUAAAA
Long non-coding RNA from Oxyura jamaicensis (ruddy duck), 849 nucleotides. RefSeq lists it as uncharacterized. The record is from RefSeq and is a predicted model, not a curated record. NCBI's taxonomy places the organism in Eukaryota, Metazoa, Chordata, Aves, Anseriformes, Anatidae. The transcript is spliced from 5 exons.